RNAcentral lists this ribosomal RNA (497 nucleotides) under uncultured bacterium. Its description in RNAcentral is "partial 16S ribosomal RNA". It matches the Rfam family "Bacterial small subunit ribosomal RNA", at positions 28 to 507 of the family's 1533-position model. The record is from RNAcentral.
GAUGAACGCUGGCGGCGUGCCUAAUACAUGCAAGUCGAGCGAACAGAUGAGGAGCUUGCUCCUCUGACGUUAGCGGCGGACGGGUGAGUAACACGUGGAUAACCUACCUAUAAGACUGGGAUAACUUCGGGAAACCGGAGCUAAUACCGGAUAAUAUAUUGAACCGCAUGGUUCAAUAGUGAAAGACGGUUUUGCUGUCACUUAUAGAUGGAUCCGCGCCGCAUUAGCUAGUUGGUAAGGUAACGGCUUACCAAGGCAACGAUGCGUAGCCGACCUGAGAGGUUGAUCGGCCACACUGGAACUGAGACACGGUCCAGACUCCUACGGGAGGCAGCAGUAGGGAUUCUUCCGCAAUGGGCGAAAGCCUGACGGAGCAACGCCGCGUGAGUGAUGAAGGUCUUCGGAUCGUAAAACUCUGUUAUUAGGGAAGAACAAAUGUGUAAGUAACUAUGCACGUCUUGACGGUACCUAAUCAGAAAGCCACGGCUAACUACGUG